GACGAACGCUGGCGGCGUGCUUAACACAUGCAAGUCGAACGGAAAGGCCCUGCUUUUGUGGGGUGCUCGAGUGGCGAACGGGUGAGUAACACGUGAGUAACCUGCCCUUGACUUUGGGAUAACUUCAGGAAACUGGGGCUAAUACCGGAUAGGAGCUCCUGCUGCAUGGUGUGGGUUGGAAAGUUUCGGCGGUUGGGGAUGGACUCGCGGCUUAUCAGCUUGUUGGUGGGGUAGUGGCUUACCAAGGCUUUGACGGGUAGCCGGCAUGAGAGGGUGAACGGGCACAUUGGGACUGAGAUACGGCGCAGACUCCUACGGGACGCAGCAGUGGGGAAUAUUGCACAAUGGGCGGAAGCCUGAUGCAGCAACGCCGCGUGCGGGAUGACGGCCUUCGGGUUGUGAACCGCUUUCGCCUGUGACGAAGAGUGAGUGACGGUAAUGGGUAAAGAAGCACCGGCUAACUACGUG
Molecule: ribosomal RNA, 468 nt
Filed under: uncultured bacterium
Lineage: Bacteria
Description: partial 16S ribosomal RNA
Rfam family: Bacterial small subunit ribosomal RNA
Source: RNAcentral